CAUAUGGAUCUUUAGCUUCAUCUCUGCAUAUUUAAGUAUGCACCCAUCCAUAUGGAUCUUUAGCUCCGUCUCUGCAUUCGUCCCUUUGUCGAGAAUGUAUAAAUAGCCUCAUUAUCUUUCCACUAAAUCUCAAUUCGAUUCGCCUACUUUUUCUUACGCUUUUCGCGUUUUAAUGGGAGGGUGCGCCAACACCCUUGUUGACCUUUGUUGGUCCUUCCCAGUGUUCGCCCUUGUUAGCGAUGUCGCUCAUUGGAUCUUUCUUCUUGCCGGCCUCCUUUGUUUCUGAGUGACGAUCGUUUCUGUGGAGGAUGGAGCGGCCUUCUUUUUCAACUUUGGUUUUCUGGAUGGUGAUGGAGGCUGGCUUCUAUGCUUCUUUCUGAGCAGGACUAGCCGGGACUCGCCUCGACAAGGGACGUCGCUAGACGGUCUUAGUGAGUCUCAUCGAAAAGCAUUGGAUUGCUAAGACCAUCGCUGCUUCACUUCAUCUGCUUCCCUUCGUCCGCUUCUCUCCCUUGCUCUAUCUAUCUGCUUCAUCUGCUUCUCUCUCCCUUGCCCUAUCUAUCUGCUUCUCUCUCUCUCUCUCUCUCUCUCUCUCUCUCUCUCUCUCUCUCUCUCUCUCUCUCCUUCCAUUCAUCAAGCCGGUCGAGAUCGGCGUCCCUCUCAAUUGCUUCUCGGAAGCCAGAGCCGUCGAGCACGUUUGAGUCUUGGCCCAAGAGAUCGACGACCGCCAGGAAAGGCAUCCUGGCUUGACAGAGAUUGCUCAAUACAUUACAGGACAAUUGGAAACGAUAAAGUUGAUCAUCCAUUGAUUCAUUACUUGGUGUAUUCUGUUUUUUGAUUGCAUGUGUUUGUUUUUGCAUUGGGUUUUGUCCGUUCGGUUUAUUGUGUUGCUUUUGCUUCAAAUAUUGAUGGAUUUCUGACCGAUAUUGUUAUAUGUGGGUCUUUUUACACCCGGUGUUGGUUGUAUGCUUGUGAUAAUAUGUCUUUGUUGUGUGCUGCUUUAUGGAUGUUCUGGUUUUUUGUUAUGGUGAAACUCGAAUCACAUGAAUGUAGCUGUUGUUAUUGUUUAAAUUGAUGGUCUGGUAUAAGUUCUUGUUGUAUAUAUGCGGAAAAUCCUUUGUGAUUGUUAAUUCGUGGCAGUGUCGGAGAUGCUAGCUGGUGGCUCUUGACUGUAAAAUUGGCCAUUGGCGGUGUUAAUGAAUUGGGAAUGCCAUUUAUCAAUUAUAUGCAUCAGAAUACAACUGUUGACUUCAGGGAGGAGGUGGUUAGUCUUACUUUGCAUGUUUUUGAAUUCUAUGACAUAAUUCCCUUUAGUUCUUCAUGAAUGCUAGCCAAUGACAGAAACAUGUUACCGGGAUUUUGUUGUUCCUAUUCUCGUGGCCACUCAAGAAUGAUUUCUUAUAUGGUGGCUUAUGUAAAACAUGUGUUAGCUUUAGUGGGAGAAUGUAAGCUUAAUUAGAGCUUAUCGCUUGUUUUACACAUGCUUAGGGGAUUGAAGUCAUAAGAGUUUGGGAUGAACUAUACUUGUAAAGCUAUCAGGGAAUGUAUUUGGAUUGAUACACAACUAUAAGUAGUCUCAGUUUUCAAUAAGUCAACUAUUCUGAUAUGAUGACUUUGGUUUGUGGUGAUAAGGAUAUGUGUUUAUAUGAUUUUAUUAGGAUUACAUGAUGGGAAGUAACCUAAUCAAAUACCACCACUGAGGAUAUAUAAUAGGGGUUCUGCAUUCACACUAAUUACGUAAAAGAACAAGCCCCAUUAUUUGUUAAUUGCAUACUGUAGUGUCGAGGUUAGAAGAGCUCUAUUUUCUUAAGCUGCAAUGGUUUCUCAAAGUUAGUGGUUAAUUGUAUUUGUGUUCAUGUUUGUUUCCGCGAUAAUAAUGUUACACUUGAUGCAUUAGUUUAACUUUAGGUUCAUAAAUGCCAAUGCAUUGUUCUUGUGAAUCCAGAAGUUUCAGAUGUCAGCAACAAGCUUGGUUCUUUUUCUCAUGAGUUUACAUAUUCUGGACACUCCGUAGACUACGCUGUUGCAAUUCAAGCACUCAAGAUGUAGACAAGUGGUUGAAGGCCACUGAAGAAUAUGUAAAGGAACUCAAGUUUAAGCACUAAGUAGUUGCAAUUUGUAAAUGUAUCGGUGGCUGGCAAUGAUGAAAAAAUAUGUAGACUUUCAUGUAAAGAAAAUGAAUGGUAUUCUGAAUGAAGCAUCUUCCCUCUUGAAAAAGGUUUUUUGACAA
Long non-coding RNA from Pyrus x bretschneideri (Chinese white pear), 2230 nucleotides. RefSeq lists it as uncharacterized. The record is from RefSeq and is a predicted model, not a curated record. NCBI's taxonomy places the organism in Eukaryota, Viridiplantae, Streptophyta, Magnoliopsida, Rosales, Rosaceae. The transcript has 3 exons.